This 485-nucleotide long non-coding RNA is filed under the name Triticum aestivum (bread wheat). RNAcentral describes it as "long non-coding RNA (TAES_LNC016679)". The record is from RNAcentral. Lineage: Eukaryota; Viridiplantae; Streptophyta; Magnoliopsida; Poales; Poaceae.
ACAAAUGAAACAUAAAUACCAGAAUCAAGAAUCACAGUGACAGGAUCAAGCCAUAAAUGUUCGGCAUCACAUGAUUCAGGUUAACAUAGCAGUAAACUUAAAACAGCAUCACAAGCUACUUAAUUUAACUACACCAGCCACACAUGGUUCAGAUUAACAUACGGCAAUGCCCAAGCUACUUAAUUUAACUACACCAGCCACACAUGGUUCAGAUUAACAUACGGCAAUGCCCAAGCUACGUAAUUUAACUACACCAGCCACACAUGGUUCAGGUUAACAUAGCACCAAACUUAAAGCAGUGCCCAAGCUGCUUAAUUUAACUACACAAGCCACACAUGGUUCAGAUUAACAUAGCACCAAACUUAAAGCAGUGCCCCAAGUUAUUUAAUUUUAACUACACCAGCCACCUGAUUUGCACCGGAUAUUGUUUCUAGGCAGAGACUUGAGUUGCCUGAUUGUUCACGGCUGGCUUCCAUUCUGGCUAC